CAUAUUCGAUUCGCAGGUAAUUUUCUAUAACAUCUUAAACACGACCUGUUCACACCGUUGGAUGGUAGCUAGCGUUAUGACGUCACAAAAUCCGAUCAUAAGAUGACCCCGUCGGGUCAACCAUGUUACCCACUUGUAGACCUAAGUUGCCAUCUGGGUCGUUUUCUCACGUCCCAUGUACCAGAUGGUCUACUCCGUGUAGCUUACUUCCCCGUUGAACCAAAAUGGAACGUACCGUUAGUUCGUCUUCUUUCCGCCAGGUGUUUGACGUCGGGAAAAUUAGAUUUUCGGUUACCGAUCGCUCACAUCUGCUUGAACACUCCGCCCAAUCGUUUACGUCCAUGGACACAAGACCGUUACAUAACGUUUUAGUUGGGAGGGAAGUUAAUCCCUCCUUCCCCAAAAAAACUACGAUCGAAAAACUUGAAAAUCAACUCCGUUUUGGUGUCCCGAAUCCGAAUGCCAAACCAAUCGCCGUUUAGUCUUAUGUACUGUAUUCCAAAAGAGAAAUUAAAUCUUUAAUGAAUAAAAUUCAUUUUUUUUUUUUUCUUUCUUUAGUAAAAAGCUGGAAGGAUAAUUUUGUUAUCAGUGGUUGACACAACACAAUUAGUUUUUAUUCUCCGGCAGAAGCCGAUAAGUUUUCCCCUUUUCCCUCCCAAGAUAGAAAAUGAGUCGGUAAAGCUUAUUAUAGUCGAAUAGAAGUUUACGAAAGGUUAUUGAUCAUCUAUUCCUUAACCAUUCGUAAAUCUGUGGGUAAUUAAGUGCUAAAUGAACCACACACAUCGCCGAAGCCCAAAAUGUCCAGGGAAAACAAAUAUCGAUUUCUUCACUACAGUAGAAUUUAUGGGUUCUUUGAUCCGAAUAAAAAAGUUUUGAUAAAUUUGUUAAAUCUUGUUUCUUUUAAUA
This 906-nucleotide long non-coding RNA is filed under the name Androctonus crassicauda. Lineage: Eukaryota; Metazoa; Arthropoda; Arachnida; Scorpiones; Buthidae. The record is from RNAcentral.